RNAcentral lists this ribosomal RNA (1006 nucleotides) under Bacteroidaceae bacterium. RNAcentral's name for it is "bacterial SSU rRNA". It matches the Rfam family "Bacterial small subunit ribosomal RNA", at positions 513 to 1533 of the family's 1533-position model. The record is from RNAcentral. Lineage: Bacteria; Pseudomonadati; Bacteroidota; Bacteroidia; Bacteroidales; Bacteroidaceae.
AGCCGCGGUAAUACGGAGGAUCCGAGCGUUAUCCGGAUUUAUUGGGUUUAAAGGGAGCGUAGAUGGGUUGUUAAGUCAGUUGUGAAAGUUUGCGGCUCAACCGUAAAAUUGCAAUUGAUACUGGCAGUCUUGAGUACAGUUGAGGUAGGCGGAAUUCGUGGUGUAGCGGUGAAAUGCUUAGAUAUCACGAAGAACCCCGAUUGCGAAGGCAGCUUACUAAACUGUGACUGACAUUGAUGCUCGAAAGUGUGGGUAUCAAACAGGAUUAGAUACCCUGGUAGUCCACACGGUAAACGAUGAAUACUCGCUGUUUGCGAUAUACUGCAAGCGGCCAAGCGAAAGCGUUAAGUAUUCCACCUGGGGAGUACGCCGGCAACGGUGAAACUCAAAGGAAUUGACGGGGGCCCGCACAAGCGGAGGAACAUGUGGUUUAAUUCGAUGAUACGCGAGGAACCUUACCCGGGCUUAAAUUGCAUUUGAAUAAUCUGGAAACAGGUUAGCCGCAAGGCAGAUGCGAAGGUGCUGCAUGGUUGUCGUCAGCUCGUGCCGUGAGGUGUCGGCUUAAGUGCCAUAACGAGCGCAACCCUUGUCUAUAGUUACUAACAGGUGAUGCUGAGGACUCUAUGGAGACUGCCAUCGUAAGAUGUGAGGAAGGUGGGGAUGACGUCAAAUCAGCACGGCCCUUACGUCCGGGGCUACACACGUGUUACAAUGGGGGGUACAGAGGGCCGCUACCACGCAAGUGGAUGCCAAUCCCGAAAACCCCUCUCAGUUCGGACUGGAGUCUGCAACCCGACUCCACGAAGCUGGAUUCGCUAGUAAUCGCGCAUCAGCCACGGCGCGGUGAAUACGUUCCCGGGCCUUGUACACACCGCCCGUCAAGCCAUGGGAGCCGGGGGUACCUGAAGUGCGUCACCGCGAGGAGCGCCCUAGGGUAAAACUGGUGACUGGGGCUAAGUCGUAACAAGGUAGCCGUACCGGAAGGUGCGGCUGGAACACCUCCUUU